RNAcentral lists this unclassified non-coding RNA (232 nucleotides) under Hevea brasiliensis (rubber tree). Lineage: Eukaryota; Viridiplantae; Streptophyta; Magnoliopsida; Malpighiales; Euphorbiaceae. The record is from RNAcentral.
CCGAGGUAGAAGAGUCUGAGGAUUAGCUGGGACAUCCGAACUUUCCUGCCAAGUAUAGUUCCAUUUCAGUGAUAAUGCCACGAUGUUUCCUCCCUAGUCAUUGUGCCACAUUCUUUUUUUAUUUUUUAAGUCUUUAAUGAACUUCCUAUAACAGUGUUGCACAAUAUGUUGGCUAUCUAUCCUUCUUCCAAUCUGAAUACUCAGCCUUACCUCUAAGUAUCUUGUUAGUAUU